RNAcentral lists this ribosomal RNA (818 nucleotides) under uncultured Actinomycetes bacterium. RNAcentral's name for it is "bacterial SSU rRNA". It matches the Rfam family "Bacterial small subunit ribosomal RNA", at positions 335 to 1166 of the family's 1533-position model. Lineage: Bacteria; Bacillati; Actinomycetota; Actinomycetes. The record is from RNAcentral.
ACUCCUACGGGAGGCAGCAGUGGGGAAUAUUGCACAAUGGGCGCAAGCCUGAUGCAGCAACGCCGCGUGAGGGACGACGGCCUUCGGGUUGUAAACCUCUUUUAGUAGGGAAGAAGCGAAAGUGACGGUACCUGCAGAAAAAGCACCGGCUAACUACGUGCCAGCAGCCGCGGUAAUACGUAGGGUGCAAGCGUUAUCCGGAAUUAUUGGGCGUAAAGAGCUCGUAGGCGGUUUGUCGCGUCUGCUGUGAAAACUGGAGGCUCAACCUCCAGCCUGCAGUGGGUACGGGCAGACUAGAGUGCGGUAGGGGAGAUUGGAAUUCCUGGUGUAGCGGUGGAAUGCGCAGAUAUCAGGAGGAACACCGAUGGCGAAGGCAGAUCUCUGGGCCGUAACUGACGCUGAGGAGCGAAAGCAUGGGGAGCGAACAGGAUUAGAUACCCUGGUAGUCCAUGCCGUAAACGUUGGGAACUAGAUGUAGGGACCAUUCCACGGUUUCUGUGUCGCAGCUAACGCAUUAAGUUCCCCGCCUGGGGAGUACGGCCGCAAGGCUAAAACUCAAAGGAAUUGACGGGGGCCCGCACAAGCGGCGGAGCAUGCGGAUUAAUUCGAUGCAACGCGAAGAACCUUACCAAGGCUUGACAUAUACCGGAAAAGUUCAGAAAUGUUCUCCCCGCAAGGUCGGUAUACAGGUGGUGCAUGGUUGUCGUCAGCUCGUGUCGUGAGAUGUUGGGUUAAGUCCCGCAACGAGCGCAACCCUCGUUCUAUGUUGCCAGCACGUAAUGGUGGGAACUCAUAGGAGACUGCCGGGGUCAACUCGG